Molecule: transfer RNA, 77 nt
Filed under: Desulfobacteraceae bacterium
Lineage: Bacteria; Pseudomonadati; Thermodesulfobacteriota; Desulfobacteria; Desulfobacterales; Desulfobacteraceae
Description: tRNA-Arg
Rfam family: tRNA
About the family: Transfer RNA (tRNA) molecules are approximately 80 nucleotides in length. Their secondary structure includes four short double-helical elements and three loops (D, anti-codon, and T loops).
Source: RNAcentral
GCGUCCGUAGCUCAGUUGGAUAGAGCGCCGGGCUUCGAACCCGUCGGUCGCAGGUUCGAGUCCUGCCGGGCGCGCCA